Long non-coding RNA from Poecilia latipinna (sailfin molly), 1032 nucleotides. RefSeq lists it as uncharacterized. The record is from RefSeq and is a predicted model, not a curated record. Lineage: Eukaryota; Metazoa; Chordata; Actinopteri; Cyprinodontiformes; Poeciliidae. The transcript has 2 exons.
GGAGCAGGGUAGGUGUUGCUCGUGUAUCGUCAGAUACGAGGAAAGCAAAGUAACGAGGGUUGUGCGGGGAGAGAAGGAGAAAACACAUGCCAGGAAAAUCAAAUGAAUGUGUGUUGCUCCUAAAAAUCCCCAGAGCGAGGCUGAGGGGCUCCGAUGGCGGGCGGAGGUAAAAAAAAAAAAAAAAAACAUGUUCUUUUUCGUUGAGUGAUUAGAAGGAGAGUGGCAGAACAUGACCUACUUAGUAGAACUUCUUUUACUGUACAGGUUUCACAAAUGUUGCUCGCACAGGCAGACUUAGAGAAGUGGGGGGUACCUAAGCCACCCAAACUUGAUUUAUAGCAGCGCUAAAGGAGCAGCAGCAGUAGCUGUAAUAACUGCUAUGAGGUGCAAAUGUAGGAACACCUCAAAACAUGCACAUUAGCAUACCUUUAAAAUGAGCCUACAGAUUGCAGUAAGGGGUGUGAAUAUAGCUGGAGAACGAAAACGGAGAAAAAACACAACUGGUUUUCCUUUAUAUUUGAGCAAAAACAACAAAUCUUUUCUAUAUAUUUUUUUUUCUGUGCUUUUACAACCCCAUGCUAGAAUUUCGUCGAGACAAAGAAAAAGCAACAUGUUAACUGCUGUAGAAAUGGGCCUGCCUCCGGCUAUUCUUAAUUUCAGGCUAUGUUUGUGCAGAGUUGUGGAGCUCUUGUGGGCUCGCAGGAAGCCCGCGGGCCUUUUGUCUCAUCUGUAGAGGAAACCAGACAUCAAGUUCAAAUCAAAAGGGAGACACAAUCAAGCAGAAGCAGAGUGGACAGGACGGAGGCCCGGCUCGUUACGAACAGAAGCACAAUGGACAAGGCUUCCCCUCUCUUCACAGCUGAGUGGGCCGGUUAACAUAUGUUUGAAUGAGAAGUGUGAAACAGUCUGCCUCUGAAAUCAGUGUGAACUAUUUGUUCGUGGACAGCAAUUAAAGUCCAAAAAACUUUAUUGACGUGAAACAUGUUGUAUGGAACAGCAGAGACAAAACCAAAACCAAAACAGCAAAAAAAA